UCCCUGGUAGCUCAGAAGGUAAAGAAUCUGCUUGCAAUGCAGGAGACCCAGGUUCAAUCCUUGGGUUGGGAA
RNAcentral lists this transfer RNA (72 nucleotides) under Bos taurus (domestic cattle). It matches the Rfam family "tRNA". From Rfam's summary of the family: Transfer RNA (tRNA) molecules are approximately 80 nucleotides in length. The record is from Rfam by way of RNAcentral. Lineage: Eukaryota; Metazoa; Chordata; Mammalia; Artiodactyla; Bovidae. RNAcentral also lists the same sequence under 5 other names.